UACGUAGGGGGCAAGCGUUGUCCGGAAUCAUUGGGCGUAAAGAGCGUGUAGGCGGUUCGGUAAGUCCGUCGUGAAAGUCCAGGGCUCAACCCUGGAAAGCCGAUGGAUACUGCCGGACUAGAGUCCGGAAGAGGCGAGUGGAAUUCCUGGUGUAGCGGUGAAAUGCGCAGAUAUCAGGAGGAACACCUAUGGCGAAGGCAGCUCGCUGGGACGGCACUGACGCUGAGACGCGAAAGCGUGGGGAGCGAACAGG
This 253-nucleotide ribosomal RNA is filed under the name uncultured bacterium. RNAcentral describes it as "partial 16S ribosomal RNA". It matches the Rfam family "Bacterial small subunit ribosomal RNA", at positions 524 to 776 of the family's 1533-position model. The record is from RNAcentral.